ACUUUCUCUUCUACAAGAUAGAAGGAAUAGUAGGAAGUAGUUAUGGUUUUAGUAUUUAUUUACUGCUUUCUCUUGAAAUUACAUUCUCUGAUCUUAGUAGCACACUAUAAAUAUGAUUAUCUCCCCAAUUCACAAUAACUGAAUACUACUUCUCUGUGUUUUACUGUUAUAAUAAACACAAGAUCUCUAUUCUCUAUUGUCCUUUAUGUUCACUUAACAAACUUUGCCUGGAAAGCUCAUUCAUGCUACUGUCUUCAAUGGUCACCAAUAGAAUUAUGCCAUAGAACUAUUUGCUCUGCUCUAGACCCCUUCCAAAGUUCUGGAUGUGUGGGUCCAUCUAUUUAAACGGCAUCCUGACACUGAGGCAUAAAAUUACCGAAAACUGAUUACUGAGGAGCACUCUCAAGAGAAAACCUGGUUAAAUGUGCAUCUUGCUCAGUGCUCUUCCCCUCUUGCAGGAGUGAUUGCCUCUCCAGUUUCUGUUUGCUUUUAUUCUCCAGUGCCUUUAAGAAGGUAUCAACAUUAUCAUUAUAAUUACAGUUUAUCAUUGGUAUUAGUGGAAGGUUAAUCUGGCAUCAUGUUUUCUUUCAUUAUCAGAACUAUGUCUAUUCUGAAUGAAAUUAAAUGCUCAAAAUAUAUUCAAAUUUAUCUCUGUAGUUCACUAUCUAAAACAUUGUGAAACUGACCCUGAGCACAAUACAUGUACUAUAUAGGGAACAGUUUCCUGAGUAAAGAAAGCCCUUUCUUUUUACAACAGUAUAUUUAAUUAAAUAGGGCAAUAAACAUACAUAAUUGCUGGAGACAAAUUAUUUUCCAAAUUACAUUCCUGAGCUCAUAACUCACUUUGAGUGAAAAAAGUUGAACAAUAUAAAUGUCAAUGUGCAUAUUUGAUAGAUUUGUAAAGAAAAGAGAAAAAUGGAUGUGACUGUUUCUCAGACUUUUCUUUUUUCUGUAGACAAAUUGGCUGGAACAGACUUCCUUUGUUUUUGAUGACCUGAAAACUUUGGAGAACUGAUCAGUUGGGGUUUUUCUAUGUUGCCUGGAAUGGACUCACACUGUUAGGCUCAAGCUAUCCUCCUGCCUCAGACUCCCUAAUAGCUGGACCUCCAGGUAAACACCACAACACCUGGCUCUAUUUUAACUUUAAACUUAAAAAUAAAUACAAAAUUUUUAAAAAGAGUGAGAAAACCAUGGUAAACAUAGCUGUUUUUUAACACACAUGCACAAAUAUAUAUAUACUUUAUAUAUAACAACUGUUAUAAAUAUCUUUCAAAAUACAUAAAUAUAUAAUCUGCUCAUGUAAAUUUUAAUGUUUAUAUAUUAAUUUUAAUGGUUUUAUAUAUAUAAACUUUAUAUAUAUAAUUUUAACAUAAUGCUUGGUAUAUUUAAAUGAACAUAACUAAAUAGUGAAACUUAGGCUAAUUUCUUUUAACUAUUCAGUUAUGUAUCUACUCUCUCAGUAACCUCACAUGAAUAUCUAAAAGGUAUCUGUAAGUUAAUAUAGCCAAAACUGAAACCCCAGACAUGGCCUCCCCAACCCUUCCUUAUUUCAAUAAAAAGCAUCAUCAUUUAUAUAUUUGCUAAAGCCAAAGUAUAGGAGAUAGUCUUCUUUUUUUUCUUAUUUCCUCCCAACUUCAGCAAACUAACCUCAAAUUCCAAACAAGUAUCAAAUUCACCCACAAAACGUAUCCCUGAAUUUAUUAUACUUCAGCUCCUUUAAUGAUUUUCAAACCAUCAUCAUUUCACCCUAGUUUUGCCACCAUAAUUCUAUUAUAUAGUCAUUAUUAUUAUUAUUAUUUUUAGUUUACUAAAGACGCCACAGAACAGAUCUCUUUACUGUCAAUCCAUACUCCACAGGAAAGUCUGAGUGAUAUUUUGAAAAGAAAAAAGUUAUGAAAAUCACCUACUUAAGAAUCUCUAGUGGUUUUUCUUAGUGUUUAAAAUACAAUCCAAAUAUUUUAUGUGUGGAAAUCUCUACCAGAUCUGUCCCCUCCCUACCUUCUUAGUGUCAGCUCAUAUCACAAGAACACUGAUCAUUUAACUGUUCCUCAGACAAGUAAAGCCUUCUUAAAUUGGAGGUUCUUUGCAAGAGAUUUGGAUAUGUCUUAAACUUAUUCUUCUUGUUCUUCAAAAAACUGUUUUUCUUUUGGCACUUAGUCCAAGGGUAAAUGAUACCUCUUUUUGUUGAGCUUUGCUUGAACUGACCAUGUAAAGAAAUCAAUCUGAGUUUGGAUUCUCUGCCUGGCAUUUUUCAUACUGGGUUAAUGGUUUGUGGUCUGUUCUUUGCCUACUGGCCCUAGAAUGCCAACUCAAUGGACAAUAGUAAAUAAUAAAUCAAUAAAUCUUGAAUAAAUAAGAGGUAAAAGGAGAAACUAAUACAUUCUUGGCUUGUUCUAUCAAUUUUAGUCAGUUGAAGGCUAGAGUGUCUGCUGCUUCUUACAGCACUCAGUAAAAUAUUUUGUACAGAUUUAGUAAUCAAUGAAUAUUUUUGAUUAAAGUAAAAUAUUCCACUUCUCUUUUUUCCCUGGGGAAGGAAUUUUAGAGUAGCAGUUUUCUUACACCAUGUAACAGGUGUGUUGUUUCUAAUUUUACUGUGUGCAUUGCUGAAUUGAGAACAGGUGUGCUGUUUCAGACAGUUCUCCAGUUGUAUCUUUAGUAGUAAAAUAAAUACAAUGAAUAUUUUAUAGUAUGUAAAAAUAGUUUUAUGUUAAGUGACAUAUGAAUAUAUCUACAGUGAUUUAGAGACAUUAUGAAUCAUUUCACUUCAGUCUCAUGUUCUAAAUUAAAUCCAGCAGUUGCAGCUGCUACCUCAAGAAUAAUUAAGAAAGAUGGAGGAAAAUAAGAUUAUUUGGUUAGCAAAAAGUCAUAGAAUUUUAGAGCUAGAAGGAAAUUUAGAGAUUGCUGAUUUGUAAUUUCUUAUAUUAAUUAAUUGCAAGCAAAAAAUGUUACCAGCUUAGCCAAUUUCUUACAAAUAUGUUUAAUACAUUAUUAUCAGUCUUGAUAUAGACUUCUAAAAAUUCUGUCAUUAACCAAAGUCAUAAUUUAAAAAUUAAAUAAUGUGAAAAGGAAAUCUAGAUAAAAGUAAUAAAACUGCACAAUUCAUAUCAGCUUAUAAUGUCUUUGUUUAAAAAUUAAUCAGAUUCAUGGUACGAAAGCCACUCAAGUAGCU
This 3169-nucleotide long non-coding RNA is filed under the name Callithrix jacchus (white-tufted-ear marmoset). RNAcentral describes it as "lncRNA (ENSCJAG00000060341.2)". The record is from RNAcentral. Lineage: Eukaryota; Metazoa; Chordata; Mammalia; Primates; Cebidae.